GACGAACGCUGGCGGCGUGCUUAACACAUGCAAGUCGAACGGAAAGGCCCUGCUUUUGUGGGGUGCUCGAGUGGCGAACGGGGGAGUAACACGUGAGUAACCUGCCCUUGACUUUGGGAUAACUUCAGGAAACUGGGGCUAAUACCGGAUAGGAGCUCCUGCUGCAUGGUGGGGGUUGGAAAGUUUCGGCGGUUGGGGAUGGACUCGCGGCUUAUCGGCUUGUUGGUGGGGUAGUGGCUUACCAAGGCUUUGACGGGUAGCCGGCCUGGGAGGGUGGCCGGCCUCAUUGGGCCUACGGUACGGCCCAGUCUCCAACGGGGGGCAACGGUCGGAAAUAUUGCACAGUGGGCCGAAGCCUGUUGCAGCAGCGCCGCGUGCGGGAUGACGGCCUUCGGGUUGUAAACCGCUUUCGCCUGUGACGAAGCGUGAGUGACGGUAAUGGGUAAAGAAGCACCGGCUAACUACGUG
Molecule: ribosomal RNA, 468 nt
Filed under: uncultured bacterium
Lineage: Bacteria
Description: partial 16S ribosomal RNA
Rfam family: Bacterial small subunit ribosomal RNA
Source: RNAcentral